AUUGCAGAAUCCCGUGAACCAUCGAGUUUUUGAACGCAAGUUGCGCCCGAAGCCUAGGCUUAGGGCACGUCUGCCUGGGCGUCACGCAUCUAGUCGCCACCCCUCNCGUAAUUACGGCGUGGGGUGACGGAUGUUGGCUCUCCGUGUUCUUGAGGCGCGGUUGGCCUAAAUCUGAGUCUCUGGCGCGAGACGUCACGGCAAGUGGUGGUUGAAAUCAUCAACUCGUGUGCUGUCGUGACAACGCCUGACGCGGACUCCACCGACCCUAGAGCUCUCGGCGCGAAUUUGAGCCGCGUGCCUUCGACC
RNAcentral lists this ribosomal RNA (306 nucleotides) under Psychotria mirandae. Its description in RNAcentral is "eukaryotic LSU rRNA". The stretch from base 1 to 84 matches the Rfam family "5.8S ribosomal RNA", at positions 71 to 154 of the family's 154-position model. Lineage: Eukaryota; Viridiplantae; Streptophyta; Magnoliopsida; Gentianales; Rubiaceae. The record is from RNAcentral.